This 253-nucleotide ribosomal RNA is filed under the name uncultured bacterium. RNAcentral's name for it is "partial 16S ribosomal RNA". It matches the Rfam family "Bacterial small subunit ribosomal RNA", at positions 524 to 776 of the family's 1533-position model. The record is from RNAcentral.
UACGUAGGGUGCGAGCGUUGUCCGGAAUUACUGGGCGUAAAGAGCUCGUAGGUGGUUUGUCGCGUUGUUCGUGAAAACUCACAGCUUAACUGUGGGCGUGCGGGCGAUACGGGCAGACUGGAGUACUGCAGGGGAGACUGGAAUUCCUGGUGUAGCGGUGGAAUGCGCAGAUAUCAGGAGGAAUACCUAUGGCGAAGGCAGGUUACUGGGCCAUCACUGACGCUGAGCUGCGAAAGCUAGGGGAGCAAACAGG